RNAcentral lists this ribosomal RNA (468 nucleotides) under uncultured bacterium. RNAcentral describes it as "partial 16S ribosomal RNA". It matches the Rfam family "Bacterial small subunit ribosomal RNA", at positions 28 to 507 of the family's 1533-position model. The record is from RNAcentral.
GACGAACGCUGGCGGCGUGCUUAACACAUGCAAGUCGAACGGAAAGGCCCUGCUUUUGUGGGGUGCUCGAGUGGCGAACGGGUGAGUAACACGUGAGUAACCUGCCCUUGACUUUGGGAUAACUUCAGGAAACUGGGGCUAAUACCGGAUAGGAGCUCCUGCUGCAUGGUGGGGGUUGGAAAGUUUCGGCGGUUGAGGAUGGACUCGCGGCUUAUCAGCUUGUUGGUGGGGUAGUGGCUUACCAAGGCUUUGACGGGUAGCCGGCCUGAGAGGGUGACCGGCCACAUUGGGACUGAGAUACGGCCCAGACUCCUACGGGAGGCAGCAGUGGGGAAUAUUGCGCAAUGGGCGGAAGCCUGAUGCAGCAACGCCGCGUGCGGGAUGACGGCCUUCGGGUUGUAAACCGCUUUCGCCUGUGACGAAGCGUGAGUGACGGUAAUGGGUAAAGAAGCACCGGCUAACUACGUG